This 525-nucleotide long non-coding RNA is filed under the name Mytilus galloprovincialis (Mediterranean mussel). Lineage: Eukaryota; Metazoa; Mollusca; Bivalvia; Mytilida; Mytilidae. The record is from RNAcentral.
AAAUAAGUGAAAAUAAGCCAAAAUCAAAAUUUAGAAUAUGACCUUGACCUUUGACCUUGACCUCAUUUUCAUUUUUUUGGACCAAGGACCGUAAAUCUGAAGACCCUAGGUCUCUAUCACUUAUGGUUUACCAGUUGAAAAUGCAUAUCACUUGAAUCAAAUGAAAAAGGGGGAAUAACUCUCAUACGGAGUCUCCAUAUAGCUUCGGUCCAAAUGAAUAUCCUUAUACUAAAGAUGUAACGAACAAUUUGGUAAAAUAAAUUUGUCGUAAUCUUUUACGGUUGCGAAGGAGUAGUGGCCACAAGAAAAACAGUGUUCGGGGAGAUAACUCAUACAAUUUAAAGUAUUUUGUUACGCGGUUGUAAAUUUUUAAAGCGUAUAAACUAUACGAUAUCAUAUUCAAAAUAUCUAAGCGACAACUUAUUAAACAACAAUACUACGUAAGAAAAAAAUUACGCGUAAGAAAAAAAAAAAUAAUAAUUAAAAACCAAUUGUUCAGAGAACAAUUGAAGGUCUUUCCACCAG